GUCUAUGGUCACACCACCCAGAACAUGCCUGAUCUUGGAAGCUAAGCAGGGUCAGACCUGUUUGGUACUUGGAUGGGCGAAAGGUAGCUGAGUCU
This is a ribosomal RNA of Capra hircus (goat), 95 nucleotides long. NCBI's taxonomy places the organism in Eukaryota, Metazoa, Chordata, Mammalia, Artiodactyla, Bovidae. The record is from Ensembl.